GAUGAACGCUGGCGGCGUGCCUAAUACAUGCAAGUCGAGCGAAUGGAUUAAGAGCUUGCUCUUAUGAAGUUAGCGGCGGACGGGUGAGUAACACGUGGGUAACCUGCCCAUAAGACUGGGAUAACUCCGGGAAACCGGGGCUAAUACCGGAUAACAUUUUGAACCGCAUGGUUCGAAAUUGAAAGGCGGCUUCGGCUGUCACUUAUGGAUGGACCCGCGUCGCAUUAGCUAGUUGGUGAGGUAACGGCUCACCAAGGCAACGAUGCGUAGCCGACCUGAGAAGGGGAUCGACCACACUGGGACUGAGACGCGUCCCAGACUCCUACGGGAGGCAGCAGUAGGGAAUCUUCCGCAAUGGACGAAAGUCUGACGGAGCAACGCCGCGUGAGUGAUGAAGGCUUUCGGGUCGUAAAACUCUGUUGUUAGGGAAGAACAAGUGCUAGUUGAAUAAGCUGGCACCUUGACGGUACCUAACCAGAAAGCCACGGCUAACUACGUGCCAGCCGCCGCCGUAA
This 515-nucleotide ribosomal RNA is filed under the name uncultured bacterium. RNAcentral's name for it is "partial 16S ribosomal RNA". It matches the Rfam family "Bacterial small subunit ribosomal RNA", at positions 28 to 523 of the family's 1533-position model. The record is from RNAcentral.